AUUGCUGCCGAAGGCAGCACUCCUAAUCUUGACAUGAAGGUUUCUCCAGAGUUCACUCGACCCAGUCUUUCGCGCCGAUCUAUGUAUUGUCGAGAUUUCGAUUUGUGUCUGUCCGUCCGUUAAGAUGUCGUAAUUCCGGGGGGGAACGGACGGGGGGAGUGCGAGAAAAAUAUUAAAUUGCGAGAAAAAUAUUAAAUUCUGGAUCUGCAAAAUAUACGAACAUUUCCCGAAGAAACCAGGUAAAUAUGGCUUUAUUUCUUUGUGCUAAUAUCCAUCAAGGCGAUAAACUGUUUAGCGUUCAUUCUGGAGGCAAGCAAUGUGCUUUUAUGAGUUUACGGCGCUUCUUACAGCCCGAAAUAAUUCCCAUUCGCAUUGUCCGCAUGGUCGUUUGUAGAACAUUUGAUAAUUUUAUGUCAUAU
Paramuricea clavata is the source of this 419-nucleotide non-coding RNA. Lineage: Eukaryota; Metazoa; Cnidaria; Anthozoa; Malacalcyonacea; Plexauridae. The record is from the annotation of a GenBank genome assembly.